Oncorhynchus keta (chum salmon) is the source of this 294-nucleotide long non-coding RNA. RefSeq lists it as uncharacterized. Lineage: Eukaryota; Metazoa; Chordata; Actinopteri; Salmoniformes; Salmonidae. The record is from RefSeq and is a predicted model, not a curated record. The transcript has 3 exons.
CUAUAGGGUAGUAGUGCACUACUUUAGACCAGGGCCUAUAGGGUAGUAGUGCACUACUUUAGACCAGGGUCUAUAGGGUAGUAGUGCACUACUUUAGACCAGGGUCUAUAGGGUAGUAGUGCACUACUUUAGACCAGGGUCUAUAGGGUAGUAGUGCACUACUUUAGACCAGGAUCUAUAGGGUAGUAGUGCACUACUUUAGACCAGGGUCUAUAGGGUAGUAGUGCACUACUUUAGACCAGGAUCUAUAGGGUAGUAGUGCACUACUUUAGACCAGGGUCUAUAGGGUAGUAG